Molecule: long non-coding RNA, 153 nt
Organism: Oreochromis aureus
Lineage: Eukaryota; Metazoa; Chordata; Actinopteri; Cichliformes; Cichlidae
Exons: 3
Source: RefSeq, a predicted model, not a curated record
ACAUCUCCCUGUGGCUGCUUCCUUCCAGGGUCGAGAUUAGCCGAGGCUUUUGUCGUCUCUACACGACCUGAGCUUUAAGCGUGAAGAUGAAGUGCGCUGUACUCACAAUAUGAGUCCUUUCAGAGUCUUGCGGCGAUCCCAGCGACUCCCCAG